Molecule: ribosomal RNA, 253 nt
Filed under: uncultured bacterium
Lineage: Bacteria
Description: partial 16S ribosomal RNA
Rfam family: Bacterial small subunit ribosomal RNA
Source: RNAcentral
UACAGAGGUGGCAAGCGUUGUUCGGAAUUACUGGGCGUAAAGGGCGCGUAGGCGGCCGAUCAAGUCAGGCGUGAAAUUCCCGGGCUCAACCUGGGGGCUGCGCUUGAUACUGAUUGGCUUGAAUGCGGGAGAGGAUAGUGGAAUUCCCAGUGUAGAGGUGAAAUUCGUAGAUAUUGGGGAGAACACCGGUGGCGAAGGCGGCUAUCUGGCCCGUAAUUGACGCUGAGGCGCGAAAGCGUGGGGAGCAAACAGG